Daphnia carinata is the source of this 519-nucleotide long non-coding RNA. RefSeq lists it as uncharacterized. NCBI's taxonomy places the organism in Eukaryota, Metazoa, Arthropoda, Branchiopoda, Diplostraca, Daphniidae. The transcript is spliced from 3 exons. The record is from RefSeq and is a predicted model, not a curated record.
UUAUGUUCCAGUGUUCAUUGUUUUACCACUAAUGUCAUGAAGCUGGUUACACCUCGAAAGGCUGUCCGAAUCUAUUCAGUGAAUUGAUGGGAGAUGUAAAGCCACAUGAGCAAUGCAUUCCGCAAGCUGUGACAUGCGAUGAAAAGGAACUCUUUAAGGGUUCUGUGGGUUCUGUGGGAAACACUUUAACAAUUUUGAUAUAGUUGUUCUUCAGGUUACAGGAAAAGAUGUACCUCAAUACAUAACAUUAUUUGAAGAAGCCUUGGCCUGCGCCAACUACUACUUAAAAACAUUAAGAAUUCUGGCUACAUAAAACCAACACCUGUUCAGAAAGCUUCAGUUGCAGUUAUUCUUGCCAAAAGAGAUUUAAUUGCUUGUGCCGUUACGGGCUCCGGCAAAACGGCGGCGUACUUGGUACUGGUUAUGAACAUAUUGUUAGAACAAGGUGUUGUUGGUGCGUCACAUAUCAUGGUUCAAAAGACAGAAGUUGUAAUUGUCGCACUUCCUCGUGAAUUAUCC